This 685-nucleotide ribosomal RNA is filed under the name Streptomyces sp. PanSC4. RNAcentral describes it as "bacterial SSU rRNA". It matches the Rfam family "Bacterial small subunit ribosomal RNA", at positions 98 to 797 of the family's 1533-position model. The record is from RNAcentral. Lineage: Bacteria; Bacillati; Actinomycetota; Actinomycetes; Kitasatosporales; Streptomycetaceae.
GCGAACGGGUGAGUAACACGUGGGCAAUCUGCCCUGCACUCUGGGACAAGCCCUGGAAACGGGGUCUAAUACCGGAUAUGAGCCUGGGAGGCAUCUCCCGGGUUGUAAAGCUCCGGCGGUGCAGGAUGAGCCCGCGGCCUAUCAGCUUGUUGGUGAGGUAAUGGCUCACCAAGGCGACGACGGGUAGCCGGCCUGAGAGGGCGACCGGCCACACUGGGACUGAGACACGGCCCAGACUCCUACGGGAGGCAGCAGUGGGGAAUAUUGCACAAUGGGCGAAAGCCUGAUGCAGCGACGCCGCGUGAGGGAUGACGGCCUUCGGGUUGUAAACCUCUUUCAGCAGGGAAGAAGCGAGAGUGACGGUACCUGCAGAAGAAGCGCCGGCUAACUACGUGCCAGCAGCCGCGGUAAUACGUAGGGCGCAAGCGUUGUCCGGAAUUAUUGGGCGUAAAGAGCUCGUAGGCGGCUUGUCACGUCGAUUGUGAAAGCCCGAGGCUUAACCUCGGGUCUGCAGUCGAUACGGGCUAGCUAGAGUGUGGUAGGGGAGAUCGGAAUUCCUGGUGUAGCGGUGAAAUGCGCAGAUAUCAGGAGGAACACCGGUGGCGAAGGCGGAUCUCUGGGCCAUUACUGACGCUGAGGAGCGAAAGCGUGGGGAGCGAACAGGAUUAGAUACCCUGGUAGUCCA